Molecule: ribosomal RNA, 545 nt
Filed under: uncultured Myxococcales bacterium
Lineage: Bacteria; Pseudomonadati; Myxococcota; Myxococcia; Myxococcales
Description: bacterial SSU rRNA
Rfam family: Bacterial small subunit ribosomal RNA
Source: RNAcentral
UGUGAGUAGUAGAGUUUGAUCCUGGCUCAGAACGAACGUUAGCGGCGCGCCUAACACAUGCAAGUCGCGCGAGAAAGGGCUUCGGCCCCAGUAAAGCGGCGCACGGGUGAGUAACACGUAGGUCAUCUUCCCCUGAAUGGUGGAUAACUCUCCGAAAGGAGAGCUAAUACAGUAUAAGACCACGACCUCGCUGAGGUUGCGGCCAAAGCAGACCUCUUCAUGAAAGUUUGCGUUUAGGGAUGAGCCUGCGGCCCAUCAGCUAGUUGGUAGGGUAAUGGCCUACCAAGGCUAAGACGGGUAGCUGGUCUGAGAGGAUGAACAGCCACACUGGAACUGAGACACGGUCCAGACUCCUACGGGAGGCAGCAGUGGGGAAUCUUGCGCAAUGGGCGAAAGCCUGACGCAGCGACGCCGCGUGAGUGAUGCAGGCCUUCGGGUUGUAAAGCUCUGUGGGGAGGGAAGAAUAAGUCUUGGCUAAUAUCCAAGAUGAUGACGGUACCUCCUUAGCAAGCACCGGCUAACUCUGGUGCCAGCCGCCGCGGUAA